This 526-nucleotide ribosomal RNA is filed under the name Calliphora vomitoria. RNAcentral describes it as "partial small subunit ribosomal RNA". It matches the Rfam family "Bacterial large subunit ribosomal RNA", at positions 1913 to 2650 of the family's 2925-position model. Lineage: Eukaryota; Metazoa; Arthropoda; Insecta; Diptera; Calliphoridae. The record is from RNAcentral.
UGAAAUUUUUAAAUGGCCGCAGUAUACUAACUGUGCAAAGGUAGCAUAAUCAUUAGUCUUUUAAUUGAAGGCUGGUAUGAAUGGUUGGACGAGAUAUUAACUGUUUCAUAAAAAUUUAUAAUAGAAUUUUAUUUUUUAGUCAAAAAGCUAAAAUAUAUUUAAAAGACGAGAAGACCCUAUAAAUCUUUAUAUCUAGAUUAUUAUAAUUUUAUAGAUUUUUUUUGUUAUAAUAAUUAAUGAUAUUUUAUUGGGGUGAUAUUAAAAUUUAAUAAACUUUUAAUUGUUAAAAUCAUUAAUUUAUGAAUAAUUGAUCCGUUAUUAGCGAUUAAAAAAAUAAGUUACUUUAGGGAUAACAGCGUAAUUUUUUUGGAGAGUUCAUAUCGAUAAAAAAGAUUGCGACCUCGAUGUUGGAUUAAGAUAUAAUUUUAGGUGUAGCCGCUUAAAUUUUAAGUCUGUUCGACUUUUAAAUUCUUACAUGAUCUGAGUUCAAACCGGCGUAAGCCAGGUUGGUUUCUAUCUUUAAAAA